RNAcentral lists this ribosomal RNA (752 nucleotides) under Pseudomonas sp. RNAcentral describes it as "bacterial SSU rRNA". It matches the Rfam family "Bacterial small subunit ribosomal RNA", at positions 56 to 808 of the family's 1533-position model. The record is from RNAcentral. Lineage: Bacteria; Pseudomonadati; Pseudomonadota; Gammaproteobacteria; Pseudomonadales; Pseudomonadaceae.
UGCAGUCGAGCGGAUGAGAAGAGCUUGCUCUUCGAUUCAGCGGCGGACGGGUGAGUAAUGCCUAGGAAUCUGCCUGGUAGUGGGGGACAACGUUUCGAAAGGAACGCUAAUACCGCAUACGUCCUACGGGAGAAAGCAGGGGACCUUCGGGCCUUGCGCUAUCAGAUGAGCCUAGGUCGGAUUAGCUAGUUGGUGGGGUAAAGGCUCACCAAGGCGACGAUCCGUAACUGGUCUGAGAGGAUGAUCAGUCACACUGGAACUGAGACACGGUCCAGACUCCUACGGGAGGCAGCAGUGGGGAAUAUUGGACAAUGGGCGAAAGCCUGAUCCAGCCAUGCCGCGUGUGUGAAGAAGGUCUUCGGAUUGUAAAGCACUUUAAGUUGGGAGGAAGGGCAUUAACCUAAUACGUUAGUGUUUUGACGUUACCGACAGAAUAAGCACCGGCUAACUCUGUGCCAGCAGCCGCGGUAAUACAGAGGGUGCAAGCGUUAAUCGGAAUUACUGGGCGUAAAGCGCGCGUAGGUGGUUUGUUAAGUUGGAUGUGAAAUCCCCGGGCUCAACCUGGGAACUGCAUCCAAAACUGGCAAGCUAGAGUAGGGCAGAGGGUGGUGGAAUUUCCUGUGUAGCGGUGAAAUGCGUAUAUAUAGGAAGGAACACCAGUGGCGAAGCGACCACCUGGGCUCAUACUGACACUGAGGUGCGAAAGCGUGGGGAGCAAACAGGAUUAGAUACCCUGCUAGUCACGCGUAACG